Molecule: long non-coding RNA, 881 nt
Filed under: Manihot esculenta (cassava)
Lineage: Eukaryota; Viridiplantae; Streptophyta; Magnoliopsida; Malpighiales; Euphorbiaceae
Description: long non-coding RNA (MESC_LNC004417)
Source: RNAcentral
UUCACCCUUUAAGGACAGAGCGUGGAUUGUUCUCUCUCCCGUCUCCACCUUUGGAUGGGGUUGUGAAUAUAUUCUUUUUCUUUUAUUUUCUCCUAGAUUCAGACUUAUCAAUGAGAGUUUUAUUAGAUCUGAUUUUUCUGUGGUUUGGUUGUUGGUCCUUUAUGCUUGCAUGUGUUGAGAGCGUUUGGACAAGGAGAGAGGGAAGGCGAUAUUGAAGCUUCUUCUUCCUUGAUUCCAGAGAUUUUUGUGUUUUUUUUUUCCUCUUUUGGCUUGUAAAGUAUUAUUUCUAAGUUGAUGCAGGCCUUCUGGUUGUCUAGACGGUCGAUCCUUAAGACUAAGAUGUUAAUGAGCUCUUUCCUCCAUCCUCUUCCGACCUAGACGAAUCAUGGCGGUGCUUAUAUGUUUUUUGCUUCUAUCCUGGAGAUAUGCGCAAACUUCUCAGUGUUUUUAUUUUUUGGGUAAUUUACGAUUUAGUCCCUGGGUAUUACCAUUAUUAACAAGUCAGUCCCUGUAUUUUUAGAAACCUAUUAAAACGUCCUUAUAUUUUAUUUCCGUCAACGAAAUAGUCCUUCCGUCCUAUUUUCCGUUAAAAUUAGAUAAAGGAGGAGAGAGAAAAUUUUUAAAAUUCAAUUUUACCCUCAAAUAAAAUUAUUUAUUUAGUCCUUAUAUAUUACAAUUAUUAACAAGUUAGUCCUUACAUUUUCAAAAAUCUAUUAAAAUAUUUUUAUCUUUUUUCAUAUCUAUUAAAACGUACUUAUCGUUUUUUUAUGUCAAUUAAAUAGUCCCUAUCUUUUCUCAGAUCUAUUAAAACGUCCUUAUCGUUUCUUUUUAUCAACGAAAUAGUCCCUAUCUUUUCUUUCGUCGUCCUCCUCCACCUCCUC